RNAcentral lists this non-coding RNA (128 nucleotides) under Shewanella putrefaciens. Its description in RNAcentral is "TPP sequence". It matches the Rfam family "TPP riboswitch aptamer (THI element)". Rfam says of the family: Vitamin B(1) in its active form thiamin pyrophosphate (TPP) is an essential coenzyme that is synthesised by coupling of pyrimidine and thiazole moieties in bacteria. The previously detected thiamin-regulatory element, thi box was extended, resulting in a new, highly conserved RNA secondary structure, the THI element, which is widely distributed in eubacteria and also occurs in some archaea. Lineage: Bacteria; Pseudomonadati; Pseudomonadota; Gammaproteobacteria; Alteromonadales; Shewanellaceae. The record is from RNAcentral.
AGCGCCGCCAAGGGGUGUUUGCAGCGAGUUCACUUUAACUCUAGUGACUGCAAACUGAGAUGUCAUCAGACGAACCCUUAGAACCUGAUCCGGCUAAUACCGGCGUAGGAAUGGGCCAAUCAACAGCA